This 406-nucleotide ribosomal RNA is filed under the name Myzostoma nigromaculatum. RNAcentral describes it as "partial 16S ribosomal RNA". The stretch from base 302 to 406 matches the Rfam family "Bacterial large subunit ribosomal RNA", at positions 2473 to 2578 of the family's 2925-position model. Lineage: Eukaryota; Metazoa; Annelida; Myzostomida; Myzostomatidae. The record is from RNAcentral.
UCUGCUCAAUGUAAAUUUAUAAAUAGCUGCAAAUGUACUAAGGUAGCAUAAUAAUUUGCCUUUUAAUUGAAGGAUUGUAUGAAGGAAUUUACAAAAUUAAAACUAUCUUUAUAAUAAAAAUAAAAAUUAAUCUAAAAGUGAAAAAGCUUUUAUUUAAAAAAUAGACAAGAAGACCCUGUUGAGCUUUUCUAUUUAACUAGAUUUUGUUGGGGCAACAUAAAUUAUUUAAUCAAUUUUUAUUUUUUAGAAUAAAAUCAUAAAUUUUAUCUUAUUUUAUAAAAUUCUAAAAAGUUACCACAGGGAUAACAGGCUAAUUUUUUUUUAGAGUUCAAAUUAACAAAAAAGUUUAGCACCUCGAUGUUGGCUUAGGAUUUCAUUUUAAUGUAGAAAUUAAAAUUGUUGGUUU